UCUCUUCUGGCUCAGCGGGUAAAGAAUCCACCUGCAAUGUGGGAGACUUGGGUUCGAUCCCUGGGUUGAGAA
Bos taurus (domestic cattle) is the source of this 72-nucleotide non-coding RNA. The record is from Rfam. NCBI's taxonomy places the organism in Eukaryota, Metazoa, Chordata, Mammalia, Artiodactyla, Bovidae.